Non-coding RNA from Megalopta genalis, 1024 nucleotides. Lineage: Eukaryota; Metazoa; Arthropoda; Insecta; Hymenoptera; Halictidae. The record is from RefSeq and is a predicted model, not a curated record.
CAGGUGAUGAUCGAGAGAGAGACAGAAUGAAAACAGCUGGUUCUAUGUGUCCGGUACGGACAAGAAACCUAGGCCGCCUCGCUUUAUCGUGUUUGCGAUCUCACUCUUUUCGUGCGUUCGUACCUCUGACGCUCCAUCUGAAACACGCGGCGCGAUAUUCUACUUGUAUUUUCUGCUCCACAGGAUUCUCGACAACACAGUCCAGCGUAUUUGCGAAGGCUUGAAGCGACGAUCUUUUCUAUAAUUAUCAAAAUUUUCGAAAACUCUUUCUUUUUCUGAUAAGGCAUCAGAAUCAUCUGAACUUGGACUACUGGAUAAAGAAGAUGAAGAUGUGAAAGAUGACGAUCUACUUGAACUAGACGGAGAGAUCUUAUUAGAUGCACUUUCAGGCUUUUGUUCCAUUACAGGUGCUAUUGUUGGCUUUGGAAGAGAUUUCAAAUGUUCUCUUAAAUCAUUUGUGAGUCCACCCAAACCAAUUGAUGUAAAAAAGUUGAUAGCAAAUCGAGUAUUUUUUGGUUCAUCUCUGGGAAAUAAUCCUUCAAAAGCUUCCUGUAAUGUAACAUCUUUAAUGCGUUGAUUAAGUUUAGAUAGUCCUAUAUAUUCUGAAAGUUCUUGAAAUAAAAUUUUGAUAAAUAUUCUAUUAGAACUUGUAGUAUCAUCCUCUGUUAAUUUUAUACAAGACAGUACCUCCCAUGAAAUAGAGUCAGUGAAUAAUAAAUGAGCGAAGAACUUUGAUACAUUGCGUAACUUAUUUGUAUCUAAACGAUGUAUCGUGUGAUAUGAAUCUUGAAAAAUUUGUUCUAAUAUAGUGACAUGAAUUUUGUUAAUGGCACAAAAUCGACCUGCUAAUAGACCAAAAAAUUUUUCAUAUGUUCUCAUCUCUGCACAACAAUCUAAGAACAUAUGACAGAGCUCUGUUUCCUGUCCAGGUUUCAGUUGCAUUUUCAUCAAUUUAUGAGCACAUUCUUCAAAGUCAAGAGAUGAAUGAAUUGUCAAAUAUAUUGUUCUUCUAAGGGCUGUUAAA